AGUGAACGCUGGCGGUAGGCCUAACACAUGCAAGUCGAACGGCAGCACAGUAAGAGCUCGCCCUUACGGGUGGCGAGUGGCGGACGGGUGAGGAAUACAUCGGAAUCUACUUUUUCGUGGGGGAUAACGUAGGGAAACUUACGCUAAUACCGCAUACGAUCUACGGGUGAAAGCAGGGGAUCUUCGCACCUUUCGCGAUUGUAUUAGCCGAUGUCGGAUUAGCUAGUUGGCGGGGUAAAGGCCCACCAAGGCGACGAUCCGUAGCUGGUCUGAGAGGAUGAUCAGCCACACUGGAACUGAGACACGGUCCAGACUCCUACGGGAGGCAGCAGUGGGGAAUAUUGGACAAUGGGCGAAAGCCUGAUCCAGCCAUGCCGCGUGAGUGAAGAAGGCCUUCGGGUUGUAAAGCCCUUUUGUUGGGAAAGAAAAGCAGCAGGUUUAUACCCCGCUGUUCUGACGGUACCCAAAGAAUAAGCACCGGCUAACUUCGUG
Molecule: ribosomal RNA, 492 nt
Filed under: uncultured bacterium
Lineage: Bacteria
Description: partial 16S ribosomal RNA
Rfam family: Bacterial small subunit ribosomal RNA
Source: RNAcentral